AUACGGAGGGGGCUAGCGUUGUUCGGAAUUACUGGGCGUAAAGGGCGCGUAGGCGGGCGGGAAAGUCUCUCGUGAAAUCCCACGGCUCAACCGUGGAAUUGCGGGAGAUACUACUCGUCUUGAGUUCGGGAGAGGAGUGUGGAAUUCCCAGUGUAGCGGUGAAAUGCGUAGAUAUUGGGAGGAACACCGGUGGCGAAGGCGGCACUCUGGACCGAUACUGACGCUGAGGUGCGAAAGCGAGGGUAGCAAACAGGAUUAGAAACCCCAGUAGUCC
RNAcentral lists this ribosomal RNA (274 nucleotides) under uncultured bacterium. Its description in RNAcentral is "partial 16S ribosomal RNA". It matches the Rfam family "Bacterial small subunit ribosomal RNA", at positions 523 to 796 of the family's 1533-position model. The record is from RNAcentral.